GAUGAAGAACGUAGCGAAAUGCGAUACUUGGUGUGAAUUGCAGAAUCCCGUGAACCAUCGAGUCUUUGAACGCAAGUUGCGCCCGAAGCCACUAGGCCGAGGGCACGCCUGCCUGGGCGUCACACGUCGUUGCCCCCCCCCAUCUACUCCUUCGGGAUUGCGGGGGGCGGAUGAUGGCCUCCCGUGCGCCUAGCCGCGCGGUUGGCAUAAAUACCAAGUCCUCGGCGACGCACGCCACGACAAUCGGUGGUUGCGAAACCUCGGUUGCCCGUCGUAUGCGUUCGUCGCGCAUCGAGGGCUCGAAAAAAUGCUCGGCUCCGGCUCGGCUUUCAACGCGACCCCAGGUCAGGCGGGGUUACCCGCUGAAUUUAAGCAUAUCAAUAAGCGGAGGA
RNAcentral lists this unclassified non-coding RNA (392 nucleotides) under soil metagenome. RNAcentral's name for it is "partial contains 5.8S ribosomal RNA, internal transcribed spacer 2, and large subunit ribosomal RNA". The stretch from base 1 to 122 matches the Rfam family "5.8S ribosomal RNA", at positions 35 to 154 of the family's 154-position model. The record is from RNAcentral.